ACACCUCAAUCAAACUCAGACCCAUUUGAAGUGAACCAAAGUUUUUUUUUGCCUUUGUCAUUUAAGGUUGCAAAUGCAGUCGACAGACAAUUUAUCCAUAUGAUAAAAUAUUGGAAAGACGGAUGAUUGGGGGGAAGGCAGCAGAGGUGAAAGUGUGUUGGCUACCUUGCUCUUCCUGUGGCAGAGUCUGGGAGGACACCUGGGAGCCGGCCAGCAAAUUCGCCUGAUGACUAAUACUGUUUUACUAUUUGUUUUAUAUAUAUUUCUCAAUAAUUAAAUUCACUAUUGUUACAUUUUAUGAUUUGUCUGUCAAUCA
RNAcentral lists this long non-coding RNA (316 nucleotides) under Carassius auratus (goldfish). RNAcentral's name for it is "lncRNA (ENSCARG00000042837.1)". Lineage: Eukaryota; Metazoa; Chordata; Actinopteri; Cypriniformes; Cyprinidae. The record is from RNAcentral.